This is a long non-coding RNA of Ruditapes philippinarum (Manila clam), 1111 nucleotides long. RefSeq lists it as uncharacterized. The record is from RefSeq and is a predicted model, not a curated record. The transcript is spliced from 4 exons. NCBI's taxonomy places the organism in Eukaryota, Metazoa, Mollusca, Bivalvia, Venerida, Veneridae.
AAGGUGCCCAGCAAGGUGCCCAGCAGCAAGGUGCCCAGCAAGGUGCCCAGCAGCAAGGUGCCCUGCAAGGUGCCCAGCAGCAAGGUGCCCAGCAGCAAGGUGCCCAGCAAGGUGCCCAGCAAGACACCAAACAUACACAGACGAUGGUACAAGGGCAAAGCACGGACAGUCUGAAAAAACAAGGCGGAAGUGUAAACGUGUCAGGCAAGUGCCUUACCAAAGAUGCAGACAGCUCGAUUGGUAAUACACCUGAAAGCGUAGGAAAUGUCGUGGUCGCCAAUGCUACCUAUGUUGUCAACUCGUCGGAUGAAAUGAAAUUAUCAUCCUUUCGAAAACAGAAAGUUUGAAGAGACUGCUGUUCUAUUCAAUUGUUUUGUUCAUACGAUAGAGGUGAAGGAAAACGCGGGAACGGAACGUUCUCUUUGACCGGAUAUCAUCUUAACAGUAUAUGUGAACUGUAAAAUUUAAAAAACCGGAUCAGUAAUCAUCAUACAUACGUAAUCGUAAUUAGUAAUCAUAAUUAGAAAUCAUUAUACAUUUAUUAAUCAUCAUAGAUCAGCAAUCAUCAUACAUUCAUAAUCAUCAUACAUUAGUUACCAUCAUACAAUUAACGUAAUUAUCAUCACACAUUAUUAAUAAUCAUACAUUGGUAAUCAUCAUACAAAAAAUAACAAGAACAAAUAGUAACAGGAACCUUGAUUAUAUCAUACAUGUAUUUGAAUUCAUUUUUCUCCUGUAAAUUUCUCUUUUUUUAAAUUUUUAAAAUCAACAGCUUUUAGUCAAAAAUGUACCGUAAACAUAGAUACGCAUGUGUCUAGCUAUAUACAUUGCUAGAUUUUAAAAUCGUACACAUUCAAUAUACGCAUUGGACACAUCUGUUAAUUGUAGUUUGUUUUCCGGAUUACUGUUUGAAAUAACUGAAAAAAGAAAAAGAAAAAAGAAAACAAAAAUCUGACUCGUUUAUGGACUUUCGGUUUGGUUUUUAAAGAUUCUAUAUCUGCUAAAAUUCGAUCAUUACUAGCCGGCAUCUAUUUUCCUAUCUAUAUCAAAUUUUGUAAAUUAUUUUUGUGUGUAUUUUAUCACUUUUUGUUAACUCAUAUGAAAAUAAAGA